RNAcentral lists this ribosomal RNA (285 nucleotides) under Triticum aestivum (bread wheat). Its description in RNAcentral is "partial small subunit ribosomal RNA". Lineage: Eukaryota; Viridiplantae; Streptophyta; Magnoliopsida; Poales; Poaceae. The record is from RNAcentral.
AUGACAAUAAACAAAUCACAAGGUCAGACGAUACCAAAUGUUGGGGUCUAUCUGCUUGAACCGGUUUUCUCACAUGGUCAACUAUAUGUCGCGCUUUCUAGAGCAACCGCGACAUCAAACAUAAAGGUACUAACAGGUACACAUGAUGAGAAUAAACAGAAGAAUAAAAAGACAAGUACAAGCGACACAUACCCAAAGGGUGGGAAGAAAAAGAAGAAUAAGAAGACCAAUACAAGCGGGACGUAUACGAAAAAUAUUGUCUACACCGAAGUCCUAACCAAAUAG